AUACAUGCAAAACCUUAUUGUUUUAAGUUAGCUGACUACAUAUCUAUAAGUGGAUUUUGAGAUUGUCACAUGCUUUUGUUUAGUUACUGAUUAUAUUAUCACUUGUAUCAUUCAUCCUAUGUCCAUUAAUAACAGAUACUCCCAGUAAUGCUGGAUGUUGUACAAACAAUCAAAAGUUACUUGAGGAUCGUCUUUGAGAGUGAAAUAAUAUAUUUUUUUCUUCUAAUGAAAAUUUCUUUUUGUAACAAUCAUUAUGAGGUUAUUGUUUUAAUAUUUAUUUUUAUUGACAGAUCUAGGACUUCGACAGCCUAGGCUGGAAGGAGAAAAGUACUUAUCAAUUGUUGAUGAGUUCAUGUAAGUUGCAUUCACACCUUGGUCCAAUGUUAUCGUACAGGUCUGUUUCUUUCUGAAAAAGGCGCUAGAGGAGGUCUUUGUGUGUUGUAACUCUGUUUUUGAUAUAUUAUCAGUUUGAGGAUUUUCCAAUGAAGUGGGCAUUUGAAACACUGCAAAGAUAUAAUAAAACGUUUUGCAUGUUUAACGAUGAUGUACAAGUUAGUAAAGUUGUGGUAUAUUGCUAGUUUAUUUGUAUUCUAAAUCUGUUGGCAAGAAACUUUCAUGAGCAUUGUUGCAAUGAUGGCAGUUAGCUCAAGUACGACCAUUGCACUUGCCAGAUUUCUGGGAGCUAUGAGAGCUCAAGGACGACCAUUGUCUGACUUCCAGAAACAAAAAUAUGUUGUAGUGGCUCUGGGAGCUUGCUUGUGGGCUUACAAAGAUUCCAAAGGGAGAGAUUGAUGAUAUUGAUACGUGCAGCUGAUGCUAAUAAUUAUUUGAAUGGUGUUAAGUAUGGAGAAGGCAUUUACAAAUUCUAUGAGGGAGUAGUCAAUGUUAUUUCAAGUUAUGAUCCUUCUUGAGGAAGAAGGAGUUGAAGUAGUUAGUGCCAGUUCUAAAAAAUCUUUGGAUAUUGAUCAUCACUAGUAUAAAUUUAGUGAAGUUAUCAAUUUAGUUUUUAUUGUCAGGUAUAUAGGGGUUUCAAGAAGCAAAUAUGUGAUAUUUUAAUUUGUUGUUAGCAACCAUUAUAGAUAUUAAGUUUCUGUUUCAAUGGUGCUCUAAUGCUGUAUAUCAAUUUGUUUGUUACACAUGGAUUUUAAUAAAAUUUAUGAUUAAAUA
Mercurialis annua (annual mercury) is the source of this 1167-nucleotide long non-coding RNA. RefSeq lists it as uncharacterized. The transcript has 2 exons. NCBI's taxonomy places the organism in Eukaryota, Viridiplantae, Streptophyta, Magnoliopsida, Malpighiales, Euphorbiaceae. The record is from RefSeq and is a predicted model, not a curated record.